This 445-nucleotide ribosomal RNA is filed under the name uncultured Corynebacterium sp. RNAcentral's name for it is "bacterial SSU rRNA". It matches the Rfam family "Bacterial small subunit ribosomal RNA", at positions 338 to 795 of the family's 1533-position model. Lineage: Bacteria; Bacillati; Actinomycetota; Actinomycetes; Mycobacteriales; Corynebacteriaceae. The record is from RNAcentral.
CCUACGGGGGGCAGCAGUGGGGAAUAUUGCACAAUGGGCGAAAGCCUGAUGCAGCGACGCCGCGUGAGGGAUGACGGCCUUCGGGUUGUAAACCUCUUUCAGUAGGGACGAAGCGCAAGUGACGGUACCUGCAGAAGAAGCACCGGCUAACUACGUGCCAGCAGCCGCGGUAAUACGUAGGGUGCGAGCGUUGUCCGGAAUUACUGGGCGUAAAGAGCUCGUAGGCGGUUUGUCACGUCGUCUGUGAAAUCCUAGGGCUUAACCCUGGACGUGCAGGCGAUACGGGCUGACUUGAGUACUACAGGGGAGACUGGAAUUUCUGGUGUAGCGGUGGAAUGCACAGAUAUCAGGAAGAACACCGAUGGCGAAGGCAGGUCUCUGGGUAGUAACUGACGCUGAGGAGCGAAAGCAUGGGUAGCGAACAGGAUUAGAUACCCCGGUAGUC